CCUACGGGAGGCAGCAGUGGGGAAUAUUGCGCAAUGGACGAAAGUCUGACGCCUCUCCGCAGCUUUCUUUCUUCCUUUUUUCUUCUCUUCCCCCUCUUUCCUUCUUGAAGAACGCGCAUGGCGCCAAUCAGCCAUGCGUUGACGGUACCUCCAAAGGAAGCGCCGGCUAACUCCGUGCCAGCAGCCGCGGUAAUACGGAGGGCGCGAGCGUUAAUCGGAAUUACUGGGCGUAAAGCGCGCGUAGGCUGUUGUGUAAGUUGGGGGUGAAAUCCCACGGCUCAACCGUGGAACAGCCCUUGAUACUGCGCGACUUGAAUCCGGGAGAGGGUGGCGGAAUUCCAGGUGUAGGAGUGAAAUCCGUAGAUAUCUGGAGGAACAUCAGUGGCGAAGGCGGCCACCUGGACCGGUAUUGACGCUGAGGCGCGAAAGCGUGGGGAGCAAACAGGAUUAGAUACCCUUGUAGUC
RNAcentral lists this ribosomal RNA (465 nucleotides) under uncultured bacterium. RNAcentral's name for it is "partial 16S ribosomal RNA". It matches the Rfam family "Bacterial small subunit ribosomal RNA", at positions 338 to 795 of the family's 1533-position model. The record is from RNAcentral.